Molecule: ribosomal RNA, 136 nt
Filed under: uncultured bacterium
Lineage: Bacteria
Description: partial 16S ribosomal RNA
Rfam family: Bacterial small subunit ribosomal RNA
Source: RNAcentral
UGGGGAAUAUUGCACAAUGGGGGAAACCCUGAUGCAGCGACGCCGCGUGAGUGAAGAAGUAUUUCGGUAUGUAAAGCUCUAUCAGCAGGGAAGAAAAUGACGGUACCUGACUAAGAAGCCCGGCUAACUACGUGCC